UGUUGAUUGACACUAGCGUUUCAGCAUUGGCCCACCCUGAGAGAGCUAUAGACAGUCCGCCUUUGUUUCACUGCCAGAGCAGGUGUGGGCAAAAAUGUCUCAUAAGCGAUUGAGGUGCUUUGUUGUUAAAUGUAAUAAUGAAAAUAGAAGUCGUGAUUUACUCCAGACAUCUGAGUCGCUGAAAAUGCAGUGGAUUAUCUUUGUUUUUGAAGGGAAUGCGCCCUAAUCUACUUAAAUGUGUCUAUGUUCAUGGGAAUCUUUUGUGAUCCAGCCUCACCUACAGAAGAAGUAGACCUCCCCCUCCUUCUCACAUUGUUGGAGGCCAACCAGCCUACAUGGUCCACUGGAUUGCCGUCAAGUGUGAAGAUCACUUCAGUAUAUUGUGGACUGACUACCUGCAAGGGACAUCUUAGACCCAAAAUUGAUAAGGGACUUCCACACUCAUAAACCCAAUCGUCCUGGGAGAAACGUCGGGAGCCAUUCUUAGAGAGGGGGUCCUGUCAGUAUUUUGGCUUGUAUUGUGUUUUGGCCUCUAGAGGUCCUCUUGGUGCUCUCUUGUUCAGCUUACUCUACUUGUAAUAAGUGUUAUUAUGUUCACAAGUGUCUCAUUUAGCUGUGUGUAUUUAAGUGGUAUUGUCUCCCAGUUCCUUUGCAUGGUGUUUUGUUCUACUAAGACAGCUGCCAGAGCAAGUGCUUGGUAGGUCUGAGAAAUUAUAAUAUCUUAUGAUUGUUACCUCUCUGAAUUUUGUGGAUUUCCUUUGGAUUGAUUUAGCUUUAAGAACUUUGAAUUUUUGGAAUAUUUUGGUGGGCUUCUAUCUUUGGACUGUAUUUGUUAUUUAAGAAUUGAUUUUUCUGUUUUUUGCUCUUUCUGUGAUUUUUUUUUUUUUUUUACUUUCGUUAAACCUACUGCAUCUCAACUUCUUCUAAGUGUGUCUAACUACUGGGUUCACCAUCCUCCAGUGGCUCAAGGAUUGAUUAUCUGACUCAUGUCAGAUACCUGAGUUUGAGCCCCGGCUCUGAGAACAGGAAUAUGUGUGGAAAAUAGAAAACUAAUUGUAGCCUAGAGAGAACUUUAAAUUAGAACUGCCUGCAUUGAGAAAUGUGUACUUUUUUUGGUUUUAAGGCCAUGACCACCAAGCCCACAGUCAGCCAUCAGUCAUCUUUGGGUCAUUGUUGAACAUCUGUCAGCUCAGUUUUUGUGGUAACUUCUGCACUGUCUGUGCUAGGGGUGCAAUGGUUCUCAGUAAAAGACCGAACCGUACUGUUUUCCACUCUCGGUCGGUACACAUUUGUACCACAAUUAAUCUCAGUUAUAAAAAAGGAUGUGGAUUAUCUGUUAUAGCGAAAAAACAAAGUUUCAAAUACACAUCUAAAUGUGUUCCUGUGGACCAUUCCACCUCUGACCAGCUGACACUUAUUUUGUACUUUUUUUCUAUUUAUUAUCUAUAAUUAUCUUUUUUUCUAGUAAUUAAAGAACUGAAGGC
Cyprinus carpio carpio is the source of this 1484-nucleotide long non-coding RNA. The record is from Ensembl. NCBI's taxonomy places the organism in Eukaryota, Metazoa, Chordata, Actinopteri, Cypriniformes, Cyprinidae.